RNAcentral lists this ribosomal RNA (460 nucleotides) under Sterechinus neumayeri. RNAcentral describes it as "partial 16S ribosomal RNA". It matches the Rfam family "Bacterial large subunit ribosomal RNA", at positions 1910 to 2529 of the family's 2925-position model. Lineage: Eukaryota; Metazoa; Echinodermata; Echinoidea; Camarodonta; Echinidae. The record is from RNAcentral.
GACUAGAGGUUAAACGGCCGCGGUAUCUUGACCGUGCGAAGGUAGCAUAAUCAUUUGUCUCCUAAAUAGAGACUAGUAUGAAUGGCAAGACGGAACUAAACUGUCUCUUUUUCACAACCCCGAAUUUCACUUCCUUGUGAAGAGGCAAGGAUAAAAUCGUUAGACGAGAAGACCCUGUCGAGCUUAUAGCAAAAGUUUAGCCUCUACCAUAUUUAAGCUGCCCUAAUUUUUGAUGAUAGGCAAAAUAAAUUUUGGGGGACUAACCAAAGCUUUGGUUGGGGCAACCGCGGAGCAGGAAAAACCUCCGCUAAUACAAUAAACAAUUAAAGUAAGAACAACAAUUCUAAAAUCAAAAAUGAAAGAGUGAUCCACUUAGGUGACCAAAGGAACAAGUUACCGCAGGGAUAACAGCGUUAUCUUUUCUGAGAGUUCACAUUGACGAAAAGGUUUGCGACCUCGA